Molecule: unclassified non-coding RNA, 334 nt
Filed under: soil metagenome
Description: partial contains 5.8S ribosomal RNA, internal transcribed spacer 2, and large subunit ribosomal RNA
Rfam family: 5.8S ribosomal RNA (bases 1-120)
Source: RNAcentral
GAUGAAGAACGCAGCGAAAUGCGAUAAGUAAUGUGAAUUGCAGAAUUCAGUGAAUCAUCGAAUCUUUGAACGCACAUUGCGCCCAUUAGUAUUCUAGUGGGCAUGCCUGUUCGAGCGUCAUUUCAACCCUUAAGCCUAGCUUAGUAUUGGGAAUCGACUUUACUGUCGUUCCUCAAAUUCAACGGCGGAUUUAUAGCAAUCUCUGAACGUAGUAAUUUUUUUUCUCGUUUUUGAAAUACUAUAAACCUCAGCCGCUAAACCCCCAAUUUCUUAUGGUUGACCUCGGAUCAGGUAGGAAUACCCGCUGAACUUAAGCAUAUUAAUAAGCGGAGGA